Long non-coding RNA from Lutra lutra (Eurasian river otter), 450 nucleotides. RefSeq lists it as uncharacterized. The transcript is spliced from 5 exons. NCBI's taxonomy places the organism in Eukaryota, Metazoa, Chordata, Mammalia, Carnivora, Mustelidae. The record is from RefSeq and is a predicted model, not a curated record.
GCAGUCAAUUCCUCGUGUCUCCCUGGUCUCUGGCUGUGCUCUGUGCUCACCUGGCCUGUGACCGAGCGUUUCUGUCUCUGGUGCUUGGCUCCGUUUGGAGUCUCCAAACGUAGCAGAUUCCUGCAUGUGCUCCAAUGCCACUCCCCCUGGGGGAGGAAGGUUUUUAUUGAAGGCUCGGACAUUAUCCGUUGUAUAGCACUUGAGAUAUGAGGAAUAAAGGUGAAACGAAAUCUUCAAAAUUCCGAAUGAGUGCCUUGGGACCCCCCUCCAUUUGAAGGCAAGAAGAUAGAAAGCAAACAAUCAAAUAUCUGCCUUGGGAAAUUCACCAGAAAGAAAAAGAAAGAAGGAAAGAUUAUUCUGUGAUUGCAUAACAGGGUGAAACAAAGCACUUGUCUUGAUUUUUCCAACUCAAGACUCACUAAGUUUGGAAAAGAGGCUGCAAAAGAGGUG